Small nuclear RNA from Otolemur garnettii (small-eared galago), 101 nucleotides. The record is from Ensembl. NCBI's taxonomy places the organism in Eukaryota, Metazoa, Chordata, Mammalia, Primates, Galagidae.
GUGCUUGCUUCAGCAGCACGUAUACUAAAAUCAGAAUGAUACAGAGGAUUAGCAUGGCCCCUGUGCAGGGAUGAAAAAUAAAAGAAAUGAGGCUGACUCUG